AUGCUUUACUGCAUCAGUCCCUUCUAUAUUCAGGGGGACAACAGCACAGCUUAUUUUCGUAGAGUAUCUAAUGGGAGGAAAAGGAAAAAUCUGAUCCAUUCAUUCAAUGGGGAUGAUGGGGUUAUAGAAGGGACUGAUGCUUUACUGCAACAUGCUACUUCUUAUUAUAAAACCCUUUUUGGACAUGCUCCUAGUAAUCUUUUUCCUAUCUCCUCUAAUCUUUGGAAUUUGGAAAAAUUAACAACAACAGCAACAACAACAACAACAAAGCCUUUUGGUAGGAGACUGGUAGAUGAUUUGCUCAUUCAAUGGAAUGAGAUUGUUGCAGAAGUGUAG
Molecule: ribosomal RNA, 336 nt
Filed under: Triticum aestivum (bread wheat)
Lineage: Eukaryota; Viridiplantae; Streptophyta; Magnoliopsida; Poales; Poaceae
Description: partial small subunit ribosomal RNA
Source: RNAcentral